Rhagoletis zephyria (snowberry fruit fly) is the source of this 1693-nucleotide long non-coding RNA. RefSeq lists it as uncharacterized. NCBI's taxonomy places the organism in Eukaryota, Metazoa, Arthropoda, Insecta, Diptera, Tephritidae. The record is from RefSeq and is a predicted model, not a curated record.
AUUUGUUGGACGUAUUGACAGCAAAUACGGAGGCACCAAAGAAAGCUUUUGCGAUAUCUCCCAUCGCAAAACUGAGCGGGUGUUUAAGAUUUUUGGCUGAAGGUGGGUACCAGACGGGUGUGGGUAAAGACUGCGACGUGUCCUUGGCGCAAUCUAGUUUCAGCAAAGUAUUGACGGAAGUUCUGACUGUUUUUGAGCGCCAUUUGUGCCCGCAGUGAAUAAAGGUGAGCGAAAGCGAGGAGGAAAACAGGAAUAUCGCCCGAGCCUUUUACGUUAAACAUGGCAUUCCGGGAGUUGUGGGGUGUAUUGAUGGCACCCACGUAAGAAUAAUUGCUCCAACACAAAACGCGGACCUUUACUACAACCGUAAAGGGGACUACAAACUAAACGUUAUGCUUGUAAGUUACUCCUUAUUUCCGCAUUUAUCUAUAUGGGAACUUUUUUAGAUAUCGACGGCUGAGUUGAAGCUCGACCUAUCUCGGCAGCUGGUUCGAAAACGUCCUAUCUCAUAAAAUGGCUCAAGAGCGCACUAUAUUAACAUAUUUUUAAAUUCUGAGAUAGGGCAUUUUCCAAUCGAAAUCUGAAGUAAGGCGUUCUUGGCCCAUUCUCUGAGAUUCAACUUCAACUCAGCCGUCGCUAUGCUUAUUUGUACAUAUUUAUGUUCAAUAUUUAGCUUUGCGACAAUGAAUUAAGGAUUCGCUAUGUUGAUGCUUCUCAUCCUAGGGCGUGCCACGAUUCCUUCAUAUGGAACAACAGCGAAUUGCGUGUUUCUUUUGAGAGGCAAUAUUUGCAAGGAACGAGGAAUCCCUGGCUUUUAGCGGACACAGGGUAUCCUUUAGAGCCGUGGCUAUUGACACCUCAUAGAACUCCAGAAGAAGGCUCAAGGGAAAUGUUACAAGGGAAAAAUUACAAAUGUGUGUUGUGCUUUGCAUAACAUAUGCAUUCAUUUCAAAGCCAAUGUUGACAUUGAACUUGAAGUGUUGGAGCCUGAAGAUGCGGAUGUAACACCAAUUUCUUCUCAGCAGUAUAGCGCAGUAGCACAGUCGAUUAGAACAAAUAUAGGAUCCGCUCUUUAAAUCAUGCGCAAAGCCUGGCAAAAAACGCAGCAUUAAAGCAAGAGUUUGAAGAAUAUAAUAUUUUUUUACCAUGCCAUUGGACACUAUUUUAGUGGGAUUUGUAUGCCGCUAACACAACAAUCUAGUAACAUCUGCUUCAACUAGCCGUGUCUCAACAGGGCCUACAAAACGUUAUUUUUUGCAAUUCAGCAAUCAGCAACAACCAUCGUCCAGCAUAACUACCGGAACUACCACGUCAACAAUUGUUGCCACAAAAGCACUGGGAACCGAACUACUCACGUUCACAAGAGUGGAGCUAUGACUACUUCCACAUCAACAACUUUAUCGGUGAAAACUUUACCAACUGCAGCGGUAUUCCCUCGAAAACAGCAACUGCCCAGCAACAAAUGCAACAACAACAAAGCCAAAACCGAAUUCAACGCCAACCUCAGCAGCAGGGACAGUCAGAGGAACGUAAACAUUUGGUUGGCAAAAAUCCUCCUAGAUAUAUCCUCCAAGCGGGUGCCGACUGGGCAAUGGGCAUCGCUGCGGGCACCGCUGCGGUCGGACCUACGCCGCAGUGGUGAAAGUAGGCGGGGCCUAGCUAAGGCCGAGGUAUAAACUCUCCUGUCUCUUCU